UACGAAGGGGGCUAGCGUUGCUCGGAAUCACUGGGCGUAAAGCGCACGUAGGCGGAUUGCUAAGUCAGGGGUGAAAUCCUGGAGCUCAACUCCAGAACUGCCCUUGAUACUGGCGGUCUCGAGUCCGGGAGAGGUGAGUGGAACUGCGAGUGUAGAGGUGAAAUUCGUAGAUAUUAGGAAGAACACCAGUGGCGAAGGCGGCUCACUGGAUCGGUACUGACGCUGAGGUGCGAAAGCGUGGGGAGCAAACAGG
This 253-nucleotide ribosomal RNA is filed under the name uncultured bacterium. Its description in RNAcentral is "partial 16S ribosomal RNA". It matches the Rfam family "Bacterial small subunit ribosomal RNA", at positions 524 to 776 of the family's 1533-position model. The record is from RNAcentral.